Molecule: RNA transcript, 2140 nt
Organism: Mirounga angustirostris (Northern elephant seal)
Lineage: Eukaryota; Metazoa; Chordata; Mammalia; Carnivora; Phocidae
Gene: WIPI2
Gene name: WD repeat domain, phosphoinositide interacting 2
Exons: 13
Source: RefSeq, a predicted model, not a curated record
AAGCGCGCAGGGUGCCCCGGCUCCGGAGCAUAAACAAGAGCGGGCACGGGAUGAGGCGGCGGUUGAUCCCCGGGCAGCCAGCUGCGGCCAGCGAGGCGGCGAGCGGGGCCCGGCGCCGACCCUGAGCGCACCCGACACGCCCCCCCGCGCGCGAGCCCCCGGCCGCGCCCUCCCGCCGCGCGCCCAUCAUGAACCUGGCGAGUCAGAGCGGCGAGGCCGGCGCCGGCCAGCUGCUCUUCGCCAACUUCAACCAGGACAACACGUCCCUAGCUGUUGGUAGUAAGUCCGGUUAUAAAUUUUUCUCCCUUUCUUCUGUGGAUAAGCUGGAACAGAUCUAUGAAUGCACUGAUACUGAAGAUGUGUGCAUUGUAGAAAGAUUGUUUUCAAGCAGCUUAGUGGCCAUCGUUAGCCUCAAAGCUCCUAGGAAGCUCAAAGUUUGCCACUUUAAGAAAGGAACCGAGAUCUGUAACUACAGCUACUCGAAUACCAUCCUGGCUGUGAAGCUGAACAGGCAGCGGCUAAUAGUAUGCCUGGAGGAGUCUCUCUAUAUACACAACAUUCGGGACAUGAAAGUCCUGCACACGAUUAGGGAGACCCCUCCCAACCCUGCAGGCCUCUGUGCACUGUCCAUACACAACGACAAUGGUUACUUGGCGUACCCAGGCAGUGCCACCAUCGGGGAGGUGCAGGUCUUCGACACUAUGAACUUGAGAGCUGCGAAUAUGAUCCCGGCUCACGACAGUCCUUUGGCAGCGCUGGCGUUUGACUCCAGCGGAACCAAGCUCGCCACUGCCUCGGAGAAGGGGACCGUGAUUAGGGUAUUCUCCAUUCCAGAGGGACAAAAACUCUUUGAGUUCCGGAGAGGAGUUAAGAGGUGUGUGAGCAUCUGCUCCUUGGCCUUCAGCAUGGACAGCAUGUUCCUCUCCGCAUCCAGCAACACUGAGACUGUGCACAUCUUCAAACUCGAGACUGUGAAAGAAAAACCUCAGGAGGAGCCCACCACCUGGACCGGGUACUUCGGGAAGGUACUCAUGGCUUCCACCAGCUACUUGCCCUCCCAAGUAACAGAAAUGUUCAACCAGGGCAGAGCCUUUGCCACAGUCCGCCUGCCUUUCUGCGGCCACAAGAACAUCUGCUCGCUGGCCACAAUUCAGAAGAUUCCCCGGCUCCUGGUGGGAGCUUCCGAUGGGUACUUGUACAUGUACAACCUGGACCCCCAGGAGGGAGGCGAGUGCACCCUGAUGAAACAGCACAAUCUGAACACGGAAGAUCAUCUCCGUGGGUGUAACUUCUUCCCAAGUACAAAUCAGGUUGGAUGGCAGCAUGGAGACGACCAAUGAAAUCUUAGACUCAGCCUCUCACGACUGCCCGUUAGUGACCCAGGCCUACAGCACGGCUGUCGCCACAGGUACUCACGUGCCUUCGUCUCCGACCAGACUUGCCUACACAGACGAGCUGGGAGCAGUGGGCGGCACAUGUCUGGAAGAGGAGGCCAGCGCUCUGCGGCUGGAGGAGGACAGUGAGCAUCCUCCUAUGAUUCUUCGGACUGACUGAACUUGACCUGUGAACUCUGACCCCCAAAGCAGGGAACACUGGCUUGAUGGAGGACUUUGUGUUAUGCUGCUAUGAACUUUGACCCGAGCUGGAGAGAGGAUGGCAGAGACUUUAAAAAAAAAAAAAAAAAAAAAAAAAGAUUGUAGCUGUAGUCUCAUUCCAUACUGUUGAGAAAUACAUCGUUUUCACUUCAGUGGCUUUUAAUCCUGCUUAGGAAUCUUAGCUUUUUGUUUUCUCUUUUUGCCAAAAUUAACUGUUUGGUGAAGCCCUUGAAACCUUGCUUUGCAUGCAUUAACGUGCCAAGCCAGAGUAGGAGAACUAGAAGCCACUUUAUGACAAUGGCAGUUGUUGGGUUUUUAAAAUCUGUAUAGAAUGAGGAGUGCACACGAGGAGGUGGCAUCGUGCAGAGUGGUCUAGGUGUCAAGGCGGGUUCUGCUCGGGCGGGUCCAAGAGCCCUCUCUGGGCUUGCCAGGCUUGGGGGCAUCAGCCGUGGGGAGGAGAACUCUCUCCCCAGAGCCCCCCAUGGGCCCUUUUCCCCCAUUUUAUUUUGUUAAUUAAAUUCUUUCCAAAUUGGAUUAUUCUGGGA